GAUGAACGCUGGCGGCGUGCCUAAUACAUGCAAGUCGAGCGAACAGAUAAGGAGCUUGCUCCUUUGACGUUAGCGGCGGACGGGUGAGUAACACGUGGGUAACCUACCUAUAAGACUGGAAUAACUCCGGGAAACCGGGGCUAAUGCCGGAUAACAUUUAGAACCGCAUGGUUCUAAAGUGAAAGAUGGUUUUGCUAUCACUUAUAGAUGGACCCGCGCCGUAUUAGCUAGUUGGUAAGGUAACGGCUUACCAAGGCAACGAUACGUAGCCGACCUGAGAGGGUGAUCGGCCACACUGGAACUGAGACACGGUCCAGACUCCUACGGGAGGCAGCAGUAGGGAAUCUUCCGCAAUGGGCGAAAGCCUGACGGAGCAACGCCGCGUGAGUGAUGAAGGUCUUCGGAUCGUAAAACUCUGUUAUUAGGGAAGAACAAAUGUGUAAGUAACUGUGCACGUCUUGACGGUACCUAAUCAGAAAGCCACGGCUAACUACGUGCCAGCAGCCGCGGUAA
Molecule: ribosomal RNA, 513 nt
Filed under: uncultured bacterium
Lineage: Bacteria
Description: bacterial SSU rRNA
Rfam family: Bacterial small subunit ribosomal RNA
Source: RNAcentral